Molecule: small nuclear RNA, 191 nt
Organism: Chelydra serpentina (North American snapping turtle)
Lineage: Eukaryota; Metazoa; Chordata; Testudines; Chelydridae
Gene: U1
Rfam family: U1 spliceosomal RNA
About the family: U1 is a small nuclear RNA (snRNA) component of the spliceosome (involved in pre-mRNA splicing). Its 5' end forms complementary base pairs with the 5' splice junction, thus defining the 5' donor site of an intron.
Source: Ensembl
GACCUAACGUUGUAGUGUAGACCAGUCCUGAAUGAUAAGGAGAAAGCUGAGAAUUUGAAACAGACUGAGAGGUAAUAGUAUUAAUAAAGCAAGUUAGAUAUGAAUUUGCUGACUCCUGUGAUUUCCCCAAAUGUGGAAAACUUGACUGCAUAGUUUGUGGUAGUAGGGGACUGCGUUCAUACUUCCUCCCA